GAUGAACGCUGGCGGCGUGCCUAAUACAUGCAAGUCGAGCGAACAGACGAGGAGCUUGCUCCUCUGACGUUAGCGGCGGACGGGUGAGUAACACGUGGAUAACCUACCUAUAAGACUGGGAUAACUUCGGGAAACCGGAGCUAAUACCGGAUAAUAUAUUGAACCGCAUGGUUCAAUAGUGAAAGACGGUUUUGCUGUCACUUAUAGAUGGAUCCGCGCCGCAUUAGCUAGUUGGUAAGGUAACGGCUUACCAAGGCAACGAUGCGUAGCCGACCUGAGAGGGUGAUCGGCCACACUGGAACUGAGACACGGUCCAGACUCCAACGGGAGGCAGCAGUAGGGAAUCUUCCGCAAUGGGCGAAAGCCUGACGGAGCAACGCCGCGUGAGUGAUGAAGGUCUUCGGAUCGUAAAACUCUGUUAUUAGGGAAGAACAAAUGUGUAAGUAAUUAUGCACGUCUUGACGGUACCUAAUCAGAAAGCCACGGCUAACUACGUG
This 497-nucleotide ribosomal RNA is filed under the name uncultured bacterium. RNAcentral describes it as "partial 16S ribosomal RNA". It matches the Rfam family "Bacterial small subunit ribosomal RNA", at positions 28 to 507 of the family's 1533-position model. The record is from RNAcentral.